AUGUUAUCACGGGAGACACACGGCGGGUGCUAACGUCCGUCGUGAAGAGGGAAACAACCCAGACCGCCAGCUAAGGUCCCAAAGUCAUGGUUAAGUGGGAAACGAUGUGGGAAGGCCCAGACAGCCAGGAUGUUGGCUUAGAAGCAGCCAUCAUUUAAAGAAAGCGUAAUAGCUCACUGGUCGAGUCGGCCUGCGCGGAAGAUGUAACGGGGCUAAACCAUGCACCGAAGCUGCGGCAGCGAACGUAUCACUUAAAGCGAUUCAGCGGGUUACGAUUGACGGAGCGAAGCGACGUCAAAGCGUAUACAAAGUCGAGUCGGUUUAAGGAUACGUUCGUUGGGUAGGGGAGCGUUCUGUAAGCCUGYGAAGGUGUGUCGUGAGGCAUGCUGGAGGUAUCAGAAGUGCGAAUGCUGACAUAAGUAACGAUAAAGCGGGUGAAAAGCCCGCUCGCCGGAAGACCAAGGGUUCCUGUCCAACGUUAAUCGGGGCAGGGUGAGUCGACCCCUAAGGCGAGGCCGAAAGGCGUAGUCGAUGGGAAACGGGUUAAUAUUCCCGUACUUGGUGUUACUGCGAAGGGGGGACGGAGAAGGCUAUGUUGGCCGGGCGACGGUUGUCCCGGUUUAAGCGUGUAGGGUGUA
RNAcentral lists this ribosomal RNA (638 nucleotides) under Salmonella enterica subsp. enterica serovar Infantis. RNAcentral's name for it is "partial 23S ribosomal RNA". Lineage: Bacteria; Pseudomonadati; Pseudomonadota; Gammaproteobacteria; Enterobacterales; Enterobacteriaceae. The record is from RNAcentral.